RNAcentral lists this ribosomal RNA (500 nucleotides) under uncultured Halobacteriales archaeon. RNAcentral's name for it is "bacterial SSU rRNA". It matches the Rfam family "Archaeal small subunit ribosomal RNA", at positions 322 to 818 of the family's 1478-position model. Lineage: Archaea; Methanobacteriati; Methanobacteriota; Halobacteria; Halobacteriales. The record is from RNAcentral.
CCUACGGGAUGAGCUGGACGAAACCUUCACAAUGAACGCAAGUGCGAUGGGGGGACUCCGAGUGCGUUCUCCCCACUAGGGAGGACGCUUUUCUGCACUGUUACGAGGGGCAGGAACAAGGGGUGUGCAACACUGCUGCCAGCCGCCGCGAUAAUUGCAGGACCCCGAGUGGUAGUCGUUGUUAUUGGGCUUAAAGUGUUCGGCUACGGCUGCGCAAGUCUGCUGUGAAAUCCAGGCGCUUAACGUCUGGGCGUGCAGCGGAUACUGCGUGGCUAGGGAUCCUACGUGGCCUAUACUAUUCCCUGCCUAGCAAUGAAAUACUCUCAUCCAGGGAGGAGCACCUGUGGCGAAAGCGCUCGGCGAGUACGGGUCCGACGGUGAGGAACUAAAGCCAGGGGAGCAAAGCGGAUUACAUACCCGCGUAGUCCUGGCCGUUAACAAUGCCCGUUUGAUGUCGGACAACCUUCGGGGUUGUCCGGUGCCUAAGUUGAUCAUGUCCA